This is a transfer RNA of 99 nucleotides. It matches the Rfam family "tRNA". Rfam says of the family: Transfer RNA (tRNA) molecules are approximately 80 nucleotides in length. Their secondary structure includes four short double-helical elements and three loops (D, anti-codon, and T loops).
UCCGAUAUGGUGUAGUGGUUAACAUCGUUCGCUCUCAUUAGAAUUCUCCGGAGUUCAACCAGCGCCGAACAGCCCCGGGUUCGAUUCCCGGUGUCGGAA